UACGGGGGGGGCAAGCGUUGUUCGGAAUUACUGGGCGUAAAGGGCUCGUAGGCGGCCAACUAAGUCAGACGUGAAAUCCCUCGGCUUAACCGGGGAACUGCGUCUGAUACUGGAUGGCUUGAGAUUGGGAGAGGGAUGCGGAAUUCCAGGUGUAGCGGUGAAAUGCGUAGAUAUCUGGAGGAACACCGGUGGCGAAGGCGACAUCCUGGACCAAUACUGACGCUGAGUGAGCGAAAGCCAGGGGAGCAAACGGG
This 254-nucleotide ribosomal RNA is filed under the name uncultured bacterium. RNAcentral's name for it is "partial 16S ribosomal RNA". It matches the Rfam family "Bacterial small subunit ribosomal RNA", at positions 524 to 776 of the family's 1533-position model. The record is from RNAcentral.